UACGGGGGGGUGCGAGCGUUGUCCGGAAUCACUGGGCGUAAAGGGCGCGUAGGUGGUCUGAUAAGUCGGCUGUGAAAGUCAUGGGCUCAACCCAUGAAAGCCGGCCGAUACUGUCGGACUAGAGUCCGGAAGAGGCGAGUGGAAUUCCCGGUGUAGCGGUGAAAUGCGCAGAUAUCGGGAGGAACACCAAUGGCGAAGGCAGCUCGCUGGGACGGUACUGACGCUGAGGCGCGAAAGCGUGGGGAGCAAACAGG
RNAcentral lists this ribosomal RNA (254 nucleotides) under uncultured bacterium. RNAcentral describes it as "partial 16S ribosomal RNA". It matches the Rfam family "Bacterial small subunit ribosomal RNA", at positions 524 to 776 of the family's 1533-position model. The record is from RNAcentral.